This 309-nucleotide ribosomal RNA is filed under the name uncultured bacterium. RNAcentral describes it as "partial 16S ribosomal RNA". It matches the Rfam family "Bacterial small subunit ribosomal RNA", at positions 504 to 809 of the family's 1533-position model. The record is from RNAcentral.
AGAGACAGCAGUCGCCGCGGGAAAACGGAGGGUGCGAGCGUUAUCCGGAUUCACUGGGUUUAAAGGGAGCGUAGGCGGGCAUGUAAGUCAGUGGUGAAAUCCCGGGGCUCAACCCCUGGACUGCCAUUGAUACUAUGUGCCUUGGAUGUUGUCGAGGUUUGCGGAAUAUGUCAUGUAGCGGUGAAAUGCUUAGAUAUGACAUAGAACACCGAUUGCGAAGGCAGCAGGCUAGACAAAUAUCGACGCUGAGGCUCGAAAGCGUGGGGAUCGAACAGGAUUAGAUACCCCAGUAGUCCCUGUCUCUUAUAA